GCACAGGAGUUAGUUUGUUGGAAUGUUAGGGGUCUCAAUAGCCCUGCUAAGAAGAAAGCCUUGAGGGAGUUCGUUGACACCAUUCAUGUCGUGAUAAUAUGUAUUCUCGAAACUAAGCUUGAGAGAGUUGACCAAUAUGUGAUAAUGCAAUGUUUAGGUCCAUCUUAUGAUGGAUUUGCUUACCUCCCGGCUUCGGAGACUAGGGGUGGCAUUUUUGUGGGGUGG
RNAcentral lists this ribosomal RNA (225 nucleotides) under Triticum aestivum (bread wheat). RNAcentral describes it as "partial small subunit ribosomal RNA". Lineage: Eukaryota; Viridiplantae; Streptophyta; Magnoliopsida; Poales; Poaceae. The record is from RNAcentral.